UUCCAAAAACAUGCAUGGCAGGCUGAUUGGACGCUCUAAAUUGUCCCUAGGUGUGAGUGUGGGUGUGGAUGGUUGUUCGUCUCUGUGUGCCCUGCGAUUGGCUGGCAACUGAUUCAGGGUGUCCCCCGCCUACUGCCCGAAGACGGCUGGGAUAGGCUCCAGCACCCCCCGCGACCCUAGUGAGGAUCAAGCGGUUCGGAAAAUGGAUGGAUGGAUGGAUAUAUAUAUAUAUAUAUAUAUAUAUAUAUAUAUAUAUAUAUAUAUAUUUUCCUAUGGCUUAUGUGUUCAAGUGCAAUUUACAGACUUGGGGGUGUCAGUAAAUUUCCGUCAUCGUCAGUUUGUUGUUAUUUCAAGCGGAACCAACACUUUCAUGUCAGUCCGUGCCUCCGUCAUAUUUUAACAGCGCUUCCAUCAUUGCUAAAUUAAACGGACUACGAAGGCUGUUCUAACUGGCAUUGUCUCACAACAAAUGUUGCCCACUCAGCAUCCAUUGCAGCAUGGUCAUCCUGGAAGGGGGUUUGCCCCAUUUAUGGCCCCAUUGCAGGGUUUUAGGCGUGGAUUUUGAGGGGUCCCCCCCCACCCCCCUCCCCGUGGGGUUAAAAUCAGUUGGUGUCGUUAUUUGUCAUCUGUGGGCAUGUGAUGAAUAUAAAUUUGACUUGACUGAGAGCGACUUUGAACACUGACAUCUUCUUUGGCAGCAUUGUGUCGGUGGCAGCCAAUAGGCGUUGAGAACGUACUACUUAGUACUUAAUACAAAGCAUUCGCAGCACUACUACUCCGGUAAAGAACCAUGCCUCCUGAGGAUGUCCACAAUCAUUGCUUGUGCAUUACGGAAGACCGUAAAAACUAAGUCAAAGAGAUUUCCUACUUUUUUACAAUCAAUAUUGAGCCUUGUAAACCUGUAGUAGAUAAAUCAAGGAUAAUGAAAGUCCAUCACAUGACAUGAUGCUCUCAUCUCUCUCAAUCUCUCUCUCUCUCUUUCUCUCUCUUUCUCUUUCUCUUUCUCUUACUCUUUCUCUUUCUCUCCCUCGCUCUCACACUCUGGUGAUCUCUCCCUGCCUGACUCUCCAUCCAGUAUAUGUGACCCAAACCACAUGUAAUCUCAAAAUAUUCUCAAAAUAAAUAUUUUCACCAAGCUUUAAUGGAAAACCAUAACCAUAAAGGAUUAAAUGCUAAUAAAUACACAUGCGUAAAAUAUUAGACUGAAACAAAGAUUGCGCAUUUGUGUUGUCAGAUCCUUGAUGAAGAACGCAGAUCGGAGACGACGCGGAAACCAUUGGAGGUCACAGAAAUGUUAAAUUGGCAAGCAGACACAAUGGAAAAAUAAUGGGACACAUUUUGAAACUGUAAACGUUUUGUAUAUAUUCAAUAAUAUGACAAAGUGGCUGCCUGAACACAAUAUUUUCAGAAUGGUGAAGACGUUCAAAGGCUGCCAGACAGAUGCACACACAUGUACACGCACACACACGCACGUCUUCAUGUAAAUGCCGCAGAGUUCAUGCAAUUUGUGCAGAUAAACUUGGGGGAGGUCAAAGGUUGUAGUUCGAUGUCUCGCUACCUUGUUGGUGUGUGCAAGUGUGUUUGUGUAUGUGAAAGUGCGUGUGCGUCUGUCUGUGUGUAUGUGGGGGAGGGAGUGCAUUUGUGCAUUCGUCUGGCGGCCCUUGAACUUCCUUACCAUUCUGAAAAUAUUGUGUUCAGGCAGCCAUUGUGUGUGUGUGUGUGUGUGUGCGAAUGUGUGUAUGCUUUUUGAUGCCUAAUAUGGAGCUGUUAGCCACAGCUACAUGAGUCUGUGUGUCACGUGCACUGGAGUCCACUGCCAAACGCAUACAAACACACACACACACACACACGCACACACACACACGCACUAACAAGGUAGAGAGACAAAAUAACUAAAAUGAAAGCGUGUGUGUGUGUGUGUGUGUGCGUGUGGGGGGGGGUGAUUAUCUAAAACCAUCUUCCCACCUUUCUGGAUUUUCUGCUGAUUCAUCACUUUUUCUGUUUUUGUGUCCUCUCCUCUUUUUCUCAUCUCCUUUAUUGGCCACCCCCCCCCCACCCCCCCAAAUGUGUCAUAUCAGUCAAAUAAGGUUGUAUAAUGUUUUCUUUUUUUAUCUAAUUUUUGUUGUCUUUGUAUUGCCUAUAUUUAAAUGCCUUACUUUUUAAUGCAUUAUUUCCAACACUGCAAGUUGGUGUUUUUAACCAGAUUUACUGUAUUACAAAGUACAUGACGGGAAAUAAAGAUUAUAAAUGGAGUGGUCUUUUGCUGUUCUAGUUGCGUUAAAAGCUGCCAAUGGAUUUUCUCAGGUGUCUUCACCACGAAAAUAAGACUGAACUGGUCACACCAGUCUAAUUCUGAGCGUUGUGCUUUAAGCCACUUAUCUGUUGUUAUCUUGUGGCAUUGGGCUAAGCGGCCUAGUCGGCUGAGAGACCGACUUGGACACAGACAUAAUUUUUUUUUUGGCCCUGUCCCUCUCACUUCUGAUGAUGUCAGAUGCUUUUAAAAUGCUCUCAUAGAAAUUGUGGGUGUGGGUGUCGUCAAGCUUUUCCUUUAUGAAAUUGACCAUAACAUGGCCAAAUUUCAUGUUGCUAUGGAAAAGUUUACCCCGCAAAAUGACCACUCCAAAGCAGAAUGGCAGGCUUCCUGUGUGUCUAAGAAAAAAAAACAAAACAAAAAUGACAUGACUUCACUCACUUGAGAGGAUCUCUUGUUUGUUUGUUUUUUUUUUUAAGUAUGCUACACUAUGGUGGGGUGUUUGGAUUGCCUUCCGUGCGCAUUGCUCAUUGUGACAGUAAAUCUCAAAAUGUUUGCCAGCAUCACCCCACUGUUUUUCCCAGUUGUUAUUGGGGAAUGCUUGUUGCACACUACAUUGAAUCCUCUUGUGCGUAUGAGCUGUUGCUGGCGCUCUUUCAGGAAUUUGUCCAUUCAGAAUCACAGUGAGAUUUAUUGGCCAAGUAUGUAAAACACAGAAGGAAUUUACUUUCCCAUUUACAACCUAUCUAGAAGAACUUAAACAAAACAAUGACCAACAGAGGGAGACAAACAGGAAUUUGCUGUUAAGCGCCCCAAAAUCUGAGAUAUGAAAAGAAAACACAGGAAAGAGGAAGAACCCCCUCCCCCCCAACAGUUUAUAACCAUUCUCCUUAAAUUGGAGCUUUGUUUUAGCCUGAGAAAAGAAAAAAAAUCCUCUGCACAUGUAGCGUACAUUUAAAAGACAUGUACAACAAAUGCAUGUCCAUGUAGUGAACGGGGGAAUGGAAGGGGCAAGGGGUGGGGAUUGAGUCACAACCAGUCCGGCUAGCUUUUUUUGGAUAGGAGCGCUCUGUCAGUGUGGUUAUGACUUGGGGCUGGAGCAAAUGGGAAUGAAGACAUUGACAUUUUAGGGCAUUAUGUAGAGUGUUAUUGUCAUUGUUUUUGUUUGCAUGUCAAGCAUCCAUAGUUACAAGAGCAAACCUUAUCAGUCUCUGGCUCGGGAAGGAGGAGUAUCGGGGCAAAUAGGAAUGCUAGCAUCUGAGCGGAUUUUUCCAUCCAGGGGAAAAUUCAGAUAACAGUUUUUUUUUGGAACAGGCCAUCCACAAUUUCAUUCAGCCUUGAAGGUCUUUUAGCUUCUGACUCUCAAUGGCACCAAUUACCCAAAUUCUCGAUUUAGCAAUCAAUUUUUCCAGACCGGGCCAGCUACUCCUUGUUCUUUUCCAUUUUGCAAAGCGACUUAGACACUGCAUUCACUUUGCGAUAAAGUUCUGUCAAUGCAUGAGUCUGAGUGUUGAUCACCCGCCCCACACCAUCCAGAAAGGCAGGCAACUCUUUCCCUUCGAAUGAAGCUGCGCCCGCAGGCUGAAUUUUGCGAUAGAUCAAGAAACUGCCAUCCUCAAACGGCGAGAUACCUGUUAUCAGAAGUCCAAUAAUGUCGAUGUCUUCCACAUCCUUUAUGGACAAUAUUAAUUAAUUAUCAUCAUCAAUCAUAAUCAAUUACUGAGGUGUAGAGGCUAACGAACUGUAACCUAAGCUGCUUUUGGAAAUUGUGCUCCGCUCUCAUUAAUUUCCGAACGCAGCCAGUACUGGCCCAGUGUGUCCCCAGUCGGAGUGCCUAGUGCAUAGCGCUGUUUUUGGUGCAUUCCGAAUAGCGAAAUAAUCAUUUUGAGCAAUGCUCUAUGUUUCUCGACAAUCGCAGUGCUUGCUAAUUUCUGGACGUUUCCCUAAUGCGCAAGUAACUGAAAGACUCAACCCGGCCCUCCCUGUUCUCACAAACAGACACAGGGUACAGCUGCAGCACAAACACGAAAACACGAAUUGUACUGAAACAGAAUAGCUCCUUACAGGUGUACUUAAAAAAAAGGUUUUCAACUUAAAUUAAAAAAUAUAUAUGUAAAUAAAUACAUUGCUGGGAUGGUAGAAGAUGGGCUGAUUUCUGACAGGUGUUUUAGCCAAACCCCCACCAAAGCCCCACUGUAGCACCAUGCACGCUUUUCAGGCACAGCUUCUUGUCAGCCAAAUUUCAUGUUGCUAAGUGAUAACCUAAAUGUUUGCACUUGCUGUUGCCAUAUGUUCCCAAAUGUUCCCUUUUUGCGGGUUUGUGGUAAUGUAAAAGAGUCAGACGAUUGUGGCAGCAGGAUGAUGAAGUGCUCUGAGGAGGCGGUUUGGGUUGAGAAGGACGCACAUGUUUGGCGGUGUUCCUAUCGAUGUGAAAUGUCAGGAAGUUGAGGAGAAUUCUGAUGGGGAACACGCAAGCACACUUCUCUUAUAAUGUCACAGCCAUUGUGUGAGCAUUCAGUCUAACGGAUAGGGGUGGAUCCCACAAACGUAAACAAUGCUAAGAUUAUAGUACAAAAAAGUUUGUUAACAAACGCAAGACCAACAUAGUACAAAUCAUGACACUGGUAAAAACACCAGGAUAAAACAAGAGAAACAAAAAGCGCGAGCAAAAGGCAACGAAAAUACAGAUGGAAAUUGAUUGUCUCAAAAGGACAAGAGACAUUGAAUGACAAAUGUCAAUCGAGAAUUUGCCAAACUAAAUGCCUACAUACAAGAAAAACACAGCGCAAUCAACAAGCAAUGAGAACAACGGAGCAAAAUCUGGAACGUUUAGAAAAUUGCACAUGAACAAUGGCUUGAGCAAGGGGAACAGUCAAUUGUCGCCUUGGAAGUCCUGAAAUAGUCUGUUGAUUGUGAUGGGUAACAGGUGCACAGCUGGACAGACGUCUGCCACCUGCUGGCGGCUAACAGAAACUGAAUCAUGACAUCAAGCAUGUGUUCAAGUGUGUGUGUGUGUGUGUGUGUGUGUGUGUGUGUGCGCGCUUGCGUGUGCACGUACAUCAGCCUGACAUCCCUCACGCCUCAAGGACGAGGAUGUUGAUUACUCUCCCCUCCCUCCUUUGUGUGUGUGUGUGUGUGUGUGUGUGUGUGUGUGUGUGUGUGUGUGUUUAAAAUGACGCAUUAGCUACCACUUCCAUAUACCUAUGUAGGUAACUGUGCUUCAGCGUGUGUGCAUGCAUGUGUGUUUGUAUAUGUAUGUGUUGUCCUUGCAAGUGACAGGCUGCUGAAAUGUGGCACAGUGGGGGACACAGAGGGGGUGUUGGCCUCGUGUCGGCUGAUUGGUCACUUCCUGUGGGUCUCUAUGUACACAUUCAUGUGUGUGUAUGUGUGAAAGAUUGGGUGUGUUAAUACAGUCGAACCUCGUCACAACGUACCUCGAGGGACUAGCGGAUUUGUACGUUAUAAGUUUGUUGUAACCAUUUCCAAUAAAAUGGCGGCCAACUACGAUGUAUAUAAUGCAUUAUGAACAUUUAUGGAUGUAAAAACAUGAACAUGUAAUACAGUAUAAACAUGUCAAUUACAAAUAGGUGUAUACGGUAUGAAGAAAAAACAAACAAUUGUAGCGUUCUGACUUCAUUUCUGAAAACAUUCAGUCAGCAAAAGAAAAGUGCCUUCUCCAAUUCAGAAUGAAAACAGCUUCGACAUGACUUUGAAGAAAACCUGGAUAUUCCCCAAAUGACCAUAACAUGGCUGCUUCCCACCAAAAUGGCAGAGUUCAUAUAUCUUUCCAGGAAUAGCUUUUCUAUACUUUUUUUUGUGGGUCUCCUUAUAAAAAGACAUGUCAAACAAAUUUCAUGUUACUAUGUGUAACUAGCUACGACAAAUCUUUAAAGGGGCGUGGGAAAUGGUAAUUCAACCCCAAAAUGUCAGACUUUCUAUACAUUUUCCUAUGUUGUUUCUUGAAACUUUUUUGUAGGUAUUUUGAUACCAGACAUGUCGACUGAUUUUCAUGUUAAGUUUAAAGGUUUGUAUUCCUUUUUGUUGAGAUUCACCUUAAGGCAUUUUGUUGAGGUCAUAUGGCAUUAAUGUGUGACAGUAAUGGAUCGACAGGGCUGCGUGUGCUCACCCUUUUGUACGUAUUAAUAGAUGUGUAUGUGUGUGUGUGCUUCCAUGUGUACAUGUGUGAAGUGUGUUGCUAAUUGCUAAAGUCCAUUCUAUUUUAGCCCACCAGCAAAAACAGACGACAUAGUAGACAUACGGUCUUUGAGACGGCCACAGUUUUAUUUUUAAUCUGACCUUGAGCGAUGCAAUGAACAUGUCCCCUUGAGUUGCUUUAUUUUUGUCUUGUCACCGAGCUUUAAUGGUAUGACUUUCUACGUCUUAGGCAUAGGUACAAUUAUUUUUAAAUCCACUUUGAGUCGCACGUGAAUCUAGUGUAAGCUUGCCAAGUUAUGUGGUAACACCUUGAACACCAGUUAACAGCACUAACCUUAUUGGUUAGCCACUUUUGAAAAUUCAGCCAACCUGAUUUAUGUAAUGGAUUCUAAUGAACAAUUAACGAUUAUAUGAACAAUUGGUUAAUCUGUCAGUUAUUUGUUUUGAUUCAUUGGUGAAUCAGAUAUAGCACACAAUUUAAUUAGUAAUUAUCUCAAACUGACAGUGUGCAGAAAAUGUAUAAACAUAAAUAGAUUAUGAUUCAGUAACUAGUUUGAUUUUUAGCUUGUCAGGAAAUCGGCUGAAAAUGUUGAUCAAGUAAAAGCAAAUGUCUUACUUUGUUAAAACACAAAGACAAUCAGGCUGAUUUUGUAGAGAGAAACACAAAUCUUUAGACUAGCUAGGGCAGUCACUAUCUAAUCAUUUUAGAAUUGAUCAGAUCAUUGAAAUAUAUAAUACAAAUAUUUUAGUGGCCAUUCCAAACAGUAUUUCUGAUUGUUAGCCAAUUUGGAUAGCAUCAAGUAGAGAACACAUUAUCGUAAUUUGGACUCAAGAUUGAAAGUCUGGGUCCAUGUAUGGCUUUGUAAGAGCACAUUUAUUGGAGUAAACCAGUGUUUUUCAAACUUUUUUCAGCCAAGGCACACUUUCAUUGAAAAAAAAUCUCACGGCAAACCACUGGCUGAAAUUGUCCCCCCCCCGACCCCCACUUAUUUUAACAAUUAACGUGUUAUAUUGUUACUAUAACCGUUUAUAACAUUGAAGGAUGACAUUAUAACAGCUUGAAUUGGAAUCAAAUGAACACAAAGAAAACAGUAUUUUAUCAUCUUUCAUAUUUAUUGUUUCACCGUCGUCCUGCAUUCAUGCGUCACAAAUUCGCUUGUCUCUCGUCGAAACACAAGGCAAUUAUUAUAAAAUAUUUUCCCGCAGCACACCUGACAAUGUCUCACGGCACACGGGUUGAAAAACACUGGAGUAAACUAAUGUAAAGUACAUUUUAGCAACGGAUGGUCCAAGCUUCAGAAGUCACUCAUAGUUGUCAAAGGGUGAAGCUGGCACUCAGCCCAAUAGCUGCAAGUAGAGCUAACAUUAGCCUCCUUCGGAUUUAAAACGUGCAUUGUAUCUGCAUGUGGUUUUGUCACCUGGCUUAAACUAAUGUUAGCCUUUCACCGCUGACUCAGUUAGCCUGCUGCAGUUGUUGGCCACAUCAGAAUGUAUUUUUCCCGCGAGUCUUUGUGCAUGUGACUGUGUGUGUGUGUGUGAGUGUGUGUUUGUGUAAAUGUGAGAGAGUGUUUGUGUGUUUUCCCAGAGGACAAAGUGCUGGUGUGGUGAAACUGGAUCAAAGGUGCUUGAACACAAAAAGAUGCCAUAGUUGUUUCACUUGAGGAGUUACAGAGUCCAUUCUUGAGCAACCAGUGUGUGUGUGUGUGUGUGUGUGUGUGUGUGUGUGUGUGUGUGUGUGUGUGUGUUCUCACUUUCUGCACCCACUACACCAGGGGUGCCCAUUAGGUCGAUCCUGAUCUACCGAUACAUCUAAGACGGGUCCCAAGUAGAUCCGAGGAGUGUCGAGGAGAAAAAACAAACAAACAACCAUUUGUGUGUCUUUGUACAUGUGAGUAAUAUAUUUUUUUGUGUUCAUGUACACUGCACCUUAAUCAUCUUAUCAGUCUCAUUUUCACCAAAAAAUAUAGAAAAAAUAAAAUAAAGAAUCAGAAUCAGAAUCAUCUUUAUUGGCCAAGUAUGUAGAACACACAAGGAAUUUGUCUCCGGCAUAACACGCUGUAUUAGUAUCAUCGUAAACAAGGACAUGACAGGUAAAUCUUGAAUUUACGGUGGCAUGUGAUUACGUCACCGGAAGUUGUUAGCUCUCAGCAGUCUGCAAUUGCAGCUUGUGAUCAGAACUGUUGCGCUCUAUCUUUUAUCAUCAUUAUUCUCAUUCAGAGUUUGCUUCGUGUACAAUUCACCGAGGGCACGGGCAAAGAAUAGGAAUCUAGGAGGGCUCAGGGAAGCACUUUAAAACGGUACGUGUGAGCUACGAUAGUUAACAGGCUGCAAAAGUGCAUCGCGUGCCUCAGUUUCAGGCUGUUUCUCAUCAUGGCGUGCGUGUGUGUGUGGCUGUUUGUGUGCGCGGGCGCGUGUGCCGGUAAGGGUAGAUUCCGGGAGGUUAGUUGAUCGAAAAGUAGAUCUUCGAUCCAAAAGUUUGGGCACCCCUGCACUACACAAUAGGGAAAUAUAGUGUUGCAAUAUUUUGAAAGCUUUUACUAUGAGUAGAAACACCCCCCAAAAAUCUCAAGAAGGCAUGCUCAAAAAGGUAUGUAAGUAAAUUGACAUUUUUUUGUGCUUCAAGUGGACAUUUUAGGUUCAAUUGCCUCACUUUUGCCCAAUGGUAUUACCAAUUACAUUUGAAGUUUCUUUGUCUGGAUUUAUCUGAAUAGCGAAUGUUCAAGCCACUACGAUUUGUCCAUUUCAAUGAUUAUCCUGUAACUAAUGUAUGUGCACAUCUUUACCAUAUAAAUCGCUGUUUCCAAACUGUGAUUUAGCCAAAAAUUUCACAUUCAAAAAAUCUCACGGCACCCGACCAAACAAAGAGUAAAAUAAAAGUUAAAUUGAAACUUCUGAAAACAUCUAACCUGAAAUAAUGACAUGCAGAGGUACCGGGUUCGAUUCCAGCUGCGGCCUCCCUGUGUGGAGUUUGCAUGUUCUCCCCGGGCCUGCGUGGGUUUUCCCCGGGUGCUCCGGUUUCCUCCCACAUUCCAAAAACAUGCGUGUCAGGCUGAUUGAACACUCUAAAUUGUCCCUAGGUGUGAGUGUGAGCGCGGAUGGUUGUUCGUCUCUGUGUGCCCUGCGAUUGGCUGGCAACCGAUUCAGGGUGUCCCCCGCCUACUGCCAGGAGACAGCUGGGAUAGGCUCCAGCACCCCCCGCGACCCUAGUGAGGAUCAAGCGGUACGGAAGAUGAAUGAAUGAAUGAAUGAAUGAAUGAAUGAAUGAAUGAAUGAAUGAAAUAAUGACAGUCUUGACUCACAAAUUUAUUUGUGUGGGACCCAUGCCUGUUUAGCUAUCGUUAAGUUGUGUGAAUGGCAACAUGUAGGCUUCUGUAGAUGCACAGGUUAAUUUGACGUUAUGAAAUUAUGAAAAACACUUUAAAGCCUGUAUCUCACUGAGUGUUUGUUUGAAAUUAUAUUAAAGUGCUAUGGGAUUAUGUCUUGUGAUUUCUGGGUUAAACCUUUAAUAUUAUCACUUUACUUUACUGUGUCCAUAACUGACACUGAGCGGAAUGUUCCCGAUUUCCCAGCAUUCUCGAAUGCAUCGAUACAGCUCAACUCUUUCCUUGUCUUUGGUGCUUGAUCUCAGAGAAGUCAUCUCUCUUCCUUCACUACUUUCCGCUGUUGCUGCCCUCGGGAGAUGGGAAUCCAGUGUGUGCGGGCCGGUGUAAGGAUGAGUGUCAUGGAAACAGUGCAGCUAUAAAUACAGUGUGCAUCAUGCAUGCUUCCUUCUUCAACUCGAGAAUGAAGAACCCCAACAAAACACGUUGGGAGAAACCUCACUCAAAUCUUGAUUUGUAGUUUUGGGGAGUAGUUCAGUCAUUAAUAGUUGUGGCAUUCUGCUUAUUUGGAUGUGUUUUAAGUCAUCUUUUUAAUUCUAAAAGCCCCCCAUAAUAAAAUAAUUUGGUCUUCUUGCAAGACACAAAUGAAGGAUUACAUAUUCAUGAUUUUGUUCUGUCAGUUGGUUCUUCUGGAGUUAUAAUCUUUAGUUUAUGUUAAUGGCCAAUUUCAUUCCAAUUGAAAGUUGAUGUCUUUUUACAGACGCCAUAGCCCAAGUUUAUAUCUGCUCGAGUUACAGAUCAGUUUUGCUGUUUGAAACCAAAAUAGCCGACUUCCUCAGUAUUUUCGGGUAUGUCUUCUUAAGACUUUUUCUGUGGGUCUACUCAAAACAUGUCUACCAAAUUUCAAAUUGCUCUGAAAAACUGGAUUUAGGGGCUGAAUUUUCCCCGUGGCUGUUAGUUUACAGUGGUGUUUUGGGGCAAGUUAUCAAAACUUUACUUUUAUACUCAGCCUACAAUGGUGUGGUGAAAACUCAAAUAUUUUGCAACUUAGCAUUGCUCAUCUGGGUAGUAUAUAAUGCAAUCUGACCAAAUCUCAAGGACAAGCUUCUCAUGAUGGCCAUGCCUGCCAAAUUUCUGAUUGUUGAGUGAAACAGGCUUUGGGGGCAAUUUUUUAAUUUGCAGAAAUGGCCAGCGUGGCCCCUAAAAUGCCCACUUCCAAUCAGAAUGGCAGACUUGGAGUGCAUUUGGAAGUAUUCUCCCAGCGCACUCUGCUCCACUCCAACUGUUCAGAAACUCAACUUGUUCAAAUGUAGCAUUCAAUCAUUCAGCGUGCCACAAAAUACGAGUGCCGGAGCAUGCUCUUGGGUGUCUGCAACUGGGAACACAGAGCGUCCAAAACAUCAGGCAUACGGACGGAAACAGUUCAAGCAGAGAUUGCUGAUUGGUAUGACAUAGGAUGCGUUUGGAAAUUAAUGAGAGGUGUGUUCUGCGUCUCCCAAAUGCACGCAGUCACAGAGUCAUGUUCGGGCAUCAGAGUUAAUUUCCGAACAUACCCGUUAUGUAUCUUUUCAGGCUUGGCUUCUUGAGACUUUUUAGUGGGUAUACUCAUGAUAGCUAUGCCCACCAAAUUUCAUGUUCCUAAGUGAAACUGGCUUUGAGGGUUGGAUUUUUUUUUAAGUGUUGGAGAGCAAACGUAAAAAAAAAAAAUCAAUAAAAAUUACGUCUUUAUGACAUAAUUACUUCCAGACUCCUGUUCUUGUAUCAAAUACAUUAUUAACUUUGUUAUUGAUCGUCAUAAGAGCUUUUGCACAAACAUGGUAAGUGUUGUUUGUUUGGAUGCUCUUCAGCUGUUUGUCAUAAAAAUAUAUUCUAAAUGAAAACAAAUAAUGGUUAUACUGAUGAUAACGGUGGAUGAGAUGAUGAUCUCCAAAAGCACAAAAUUUAUCUGGACAGUUUUGGGAAGGAGAACCAGCAAUGUGUUCCGCUUGUGUAGAAUUAAACAAUGGAGGUCUAUUUUUAGCAAUUCUUUUUGUGAGCUUGUGGGCUUCAGCAUUUGUGACAUGCAAACAUCAAAGUGGAUGACAGAAAAUACAUAUACACUCAGACCUUUAGGAAGAACCAACAUUCAGGCAAAAAUGCAUGUGUGUUAAAAAACAAAACAAAACCAAAAUGCAGGAAUAAGAGAGGCACAAUAUUCUGCUAGAUUUGCACAUUAAUCGUUGAUCACAAAGGGCCAGUUGUACAAAUAAUGUAAUCUGGAUCAAAAUGAUCUGAACUUGCAAAUACAAUUUUUUGCUGUCUAGUUUCAUGUAAUCCAUUUUACUUUGAUGGUGUUUUUUCACAGCAACCCUGAUCCAGAGACUCCGUUUUUGAUAUUACUGGUACCAAAUCCGGAUUAUCAGUGCUCUAAAUGGGAAAACAUAUCACAAUGUGGGACACCAGCAAUGUAAAGAACAACAGAAAAAAGAGCCAACAAGGGGUCAUUUCAUUAUCAUCAUCGUUAUUAUUAUUAUUAUAUUGACACAAAACCAAAAUAUUUUGUGAAGAUCAACUUCUAUUUACUAAAUAAUUUAUUUUAUGAACACUCACAUGAGCUAUAACAAAUAUACAGUACAUAAACAAAUACAUUGUAGAUAUUUUGACGUCUUAAAUUCCAAUCGUUAACAAAUUUAAGAAUGUUUCUUUGUAAUUAAUAUACAACAAUGAAUGGCAGAACAAUUGAAUACAUCAUUUUUGUUUCUUACUGAAAUCUGCUCAGGGGACUUUUUCAUGGGUAGAAGAUCAUUAUUUUAUUUAUUUAUACUGAAAGGCUUAAUUGGUAUCCCACGUCGACCGUAGCUACUUCAUACCUGUAUGAGUUGAGCAAAUCAAGUAGAAAAUAUAAAUAACACGAAAUGAUGCAGAUGGGUUAUUUGACCAAGUUUUGUUCCAUUUUCUUCUUGAACCUUGAAAUCCUUCCCCCUCUUAGGAUCAGGUUAAUCUUCUUUUUUGGGAUCAAAGUUAUCCAGAUCCAACUGAAAUGUUUUGAACAAUACAAAUUGAAGGUUUGAUACGGAUUAAAAUUAGGAUUGUAUUGCACGAUCCAAUCCGAUUUCAAUUAAAACAUCUUGUUCUUUGACACAACUCAUUUUCAAGAUUUGAUCUAAUGCCAUAAACAAAAUGCAGUCACAUUACCAUUAGCUCUGUUAGCUGUCAAAUAUAUCACAUAUCCGUCGGUAUAUAGAUCCUAAACCUGUUAUUAUUAUUAUUUUUAUCGGUACAAGCAACCACGUAUGAGCUAUAUAGCUAAUUUGAACUAAAACUACUUGCACACAAAAAUAAACAUGGCUAAGUAAGUAUUAGCCGUAUCGCUAACACUAGCUAGCGAAUGCUCAGCUUUUAAGACAACACUUCUCAUCUUCGCUUUUUUAAUGAUGUGCUGAAUAGUGGUCACAGAAGUACCAUUGCUGGUCAGAUUUUUGAACAAAUGUUGCUACAUCUUGCAUUGUGGGGAUUUUUGGGUAGACAGAGCCUUAAGAAAGGUUAGUUUAGUCAAACAUGACAUCAAACAAAUCACUUAAACUGUCGGAAGUUGAAUAAUUAAUGUGUAACAGUCAGAUUUGGCCCCUCGUCUGCAUUUUAGCGAGAAGAGCAGACGGGGAUGCUUUGCAGUGAUUUCUUUGCAACAUGUCCGUGUCCUCAUUGGUGUCAUCUCACAUUUGUCAACAGUUACGACAAAGUGCCUGUGAAAGUCAUCACGUCGCUUGCUAACAGGGUCCCUAAGUCUUUAUUUGAAACUUAACAAAAGAAAGAAAGAAAGAAAGAAAGAAAGAAAGAAAGAAAGAAAGAAAGAAAGAAAGAAAGAAAGAAAGAAAGAAAGAAAGAAAGAAAGAAAGAAAGAAAGAAAGAAAGAAAAAUUGGACAGAUACUUUUCCCUCUUAUUUAUACACUGACAAACUGUCUAGGUUGGAAUAAUGUAGCGUGUAAAGGUACUGAAUCAAAGGAUUCAGCCUUCCUUUUUUACUUAGAAGCUUUAAUUAGCAAUAGCAGAAGCCAUUCAGUUUAAAAAAAACAGAAAAAGAUUACCUGUUUAACAAGAAAAAUCUAACAGGCGAUUUGAAAAACCUAACAAAAUAGAUGGAGAAUUAUUCCCUUAGUUUCAUUUUCAUUUGUGUUUAUCACUGAAAACUAAAGGCUAGCUUGAACCAUCAAGCUCUUCGGUCGUCCACAAAAUAGCUGUGUAGCAAAUGCUGUACUCCCUUCCCAGGGAAACUACCACGCAGCUCUGGCUAAAUGUUUUUAACUACCAGGCUAGGGCCAAGGGGUAAUCAUUCCUCGUGUGAAUUUUCAUUAGUUAGCCAAAUAGACUUUUUGACAAACCUAGGCUAAAGACCAGCAGUUAGCUACAUGUAAAUCAGUGAGUUGCUCUGUUAGCAAACAAGGCUAAUCCAUAUUCUUGAAUGCUUUAUCAAACCACAUCGUUUAGCGUGAAAGAUUAGUCAUGUGGAACCAAAAUGUUUUACUCUGAUGGAAGGCAACAAUAUGGCAGGAAACAAAAAGUUGCUGUUUUCGGAGCAGAUGGCUCACCCGUCUGCCUGCGUGUUUGCUGCAUGCGUGCAUGCACACACGCACACACACACAUUAUGUAUUUUUGUUGUGUCAUAUUCAGGUCUGUCCACUUCCUCCUUGUUAGCAUACUAAAUCUGCCUGUGUGUGUGUGUGUGUGUGUGCGUGUGUGUGUGUGUGUGUGUGUGUGUCAAGUCAAGUCAAGUCAACAGUAUUUAUAGAGCACUUUCAAACAGCCAUCGCUGCAUACAAAGUGCUGUACAUGGAGCGACUUAACAUAUACAAUAAACAGUAAGACGAAUCAGUAAUAAGUAAUAAGUAAUAAGGCGGUAGAAAGCACCAAGCAGUAAAACCAAUAGCAAAUCUAAGUCAUGCUGAGUCAAACGCCAAAGAAUACAAGUGAGUUUUGAGGAGGGCUUUAAAGAUGGGCAGCGAGGAGGCUUGCCGAAUGUUCAGUGUGUGUGUGUGUGCGCAUGCAUGCGCUUACUCUGAGGGAGCAGGGAACAUCGCUGACUCACACAAUGCACCACAACAGACGCUAUACAUACUCAGAGAAGAAAAAAGGUCUGGGAAGGCAAUUGUUUUUUGAUAAGAAAUGAUCGCAUUUUGAUAGCAUUUGGAUCACAACAACACGCUGGAUUGCGAAAACAAUCGAACACACUCCGCAGGGAAAAAAAAUCUGCCUUUUUUUGUGUAGUUGUGACAAUGUGUGUGUAUGAUGAGCGUUUUGGAAUAGAGAUUAGAUACACUUUUGACCAAAAUAAAUUAUUAAUGAGGUAAUGCACUCUCUGCUGGUUCCUCGGACAAAGUUUACAGAAAUGCUUCUUGUGCACUCAAAACAUGCUUUUGUUUUGGUGUUUAUGUUCGUUCGCUGGAUCAUCGAUUUUCACCAAGAAGAACCCACCGAAUCUUGAUACUACUGUACUCUGAAUUGUGUGUUUCGGUAAUCAGGUCUUGAUGCAUACUUUGGUACCUCUGCUAUAAUAAUAUUGGGUGAUGAUCCAAAUUGUAUUUGUGAGUAUGUAUUGUAAACUUUUCCAUAAAUCUUUGCGAGCAGAAUCACACACACACACACACACACACACACACACACACACACACACACACACACACACACACACACACACACACACACACACACACACACACACACACACACAAAC
Molecule: long non-coding RNA, 15434 nt
Organism: Hippocampus zosterae (dwarf seahorse)
Lineage: Eukaryota; Metazoa; Chordata; Actinopteri; Syngnathiformes; Syngnathidae
Exons: 2
Source: RefSeq, a predicted model, not a curated record